AGAUUGAACGCUGGCGGCAUGCUUUACACAUGCAAGUCGAGCGGCAGCACGACGUGUAGCAACACACGUUGGUGGCGAGCGGCGAACGGGUGAGUAAUACAUCGGAACGUGUCCAGUAGUGGGGGAUAACCAGUCGAAAGAUUGGCUAAUACCGCAUACGAUCUACGGAUGAAAGCGGGGGACUCGCAAGGGCCUCGCGCUAUUGGAGCGGCCGAUGUCCGAUUAGCCUAGUUGGCGGGGUAACGGCCCACCAAGGCGACGAUCGGUAGCUGGUCUGGAGAGGAUGGAUCAGCCACACUGGAACUGAGACACGGUCCAGACUCCGUACGGGAGCAGCGAGGUGGGGUAAUUUUGGAACAAGUGGGCGCGAAGCCUGACUCCAGCCAUCGCCGCGUGAGUGAAGACGCCGUUGGU
Molecule: ribosomal RNA, 414 nt
Filed under: uncultured soil bacterium
Lineage: Bacteria
Description: bacterial SSU rRNA
Rfam family: Bacterial small subunit ribosomal RNA
Source: RNAcentral